CCAUCUCAAAAAUAUUUGUGUGAAAUGCCGUUGUUUCCUCCCAUUAUUUUUGGACUUCUUGUUUGGGGUUUUUACAUGAGGAAGUCAUAUCUACUGUAUGUUAGAAAAUUGAAGAUUAGACAGUCCUAGACAAGCUAAAUCUCUCCCUGCACUAUACAUGGUGGAUUCUUGUUAUUUUGCACAAGUUGGUAGUGAUAGUUGAUGUUAACCAGUUAAGCUUUGGUGCAUUUAUUAGUGAGAAUUUGGCUAUUGACCUGAGAUUUCUUGAUUCUCUUUGGUCAUGUAUUUUUUUCCCUGAUUUCUUGUAGUUUGUGUUUUUCAGCUGGUUUAAACAUGUAUUUUCCUUGCCAUCUCUUUUCUUGUUAGACCCUUUUCCCUUUGUUUUGUUGAUUUUUAUUGUAUGAGCAAGAUUUGGGUGUGCAGUGGAAAUGAAAGAUACGACACUCAUCUGCAAAAUGUUACUGCAGCAGUAUCAAGCAAAGCACAGGUUGAGGGAGCCUAGUUGAACAAAACAAUCUGGACAGGCAAACAUUUUUGUCUGUCAAGCUCUCAACAAGUUGCAAGGCAACGAAGCAUGCAUGCCCGAUUUAGUUGAAAUUUGCCCCCACCAAUUAAGUUUAAAGAGGAAGCUCUGCUGCCUGCUUGGAGAUAUAACCUUAUACAAAUGAGCAGGAAUUGUGUAAAACCCCUUAAAUUGGGUGUUCAGGGAGGAAAUGUACUGUUUUAUGGACACACCACUCUGUUGCUUCUCUUC
This is a long non-coding RNA of Ipomoea nil (Japanese morning glory), 754 nucleotides long. RefSeq lists it as uncharacterized. NCBI's taxonomy places the organism in Eukaryota, Viridiplantae, Streptophyta, Magnoliopsida, Solanales, Convolvulaceae. The transcript has 2 exons. The record is from RefSeq and is a predicted model, not a curated record.